GACGAACGCUGGCGGCGUGCCUAAUACAUGCAAGUCGAACGCUGAAGGAGGAGCUUGCUUCUCUGGAUGAGUUGCGAACGGGUGAGUAACGCGUAGGUAACCUGCCUGGUAGCGGGGGAUAACUAUUGGAAACGAUAGCUAAUACCGCAUAAGAGUAGAUGUUGCAUGACAUUUGCUUAAAAGGUGCAAUUGCAUCACUACCAGAUGGACCUGCGUUGUAUUAGCUAGUUGGUGGGGUAACGGCUCACCAAGGCGACGAUACAUAGCCGACCUGAGAGGGUGAUCGGCCACACUGGGACUGAGACACGGCCCAGACUCCUACGGGAGGCAGCAGUAGGGAAUCUUCGGCAAUGGACGGAAGUCUGACCGAGCAACGCCGCGUGAGUGAAGAAGGUUGUCGGAUCGUAAAGCUCUGUUGUAAGAGAAGAACGAGUGUGAGAGUGGAAAGUUCACACUGUGACGGUAGCUUACCAGAAAGGGACGGCUAACUACGUG
This 495-nucleotide ribosomal RNA is filed under the name uncultured bacterium. RNAcentral describes it as "partial 16S ribosomal RNA". It matches the Rfam family "Bacterial small subunit ribosomal RNA", at positions 28 to 507 of the family's 1533-position model. The record is from RNAcentral.